ACCGAGAUUCAACAUGGAACGAGUGGCGGACGGGUGAGUAACACGUGGGUAACCUGCCCUUAAGUGGGGGAUAACAUUUGGAAACAGAUGCUAAUACCGCAUAGAUCCAAGAACCGCAKGGUUCUUGGCUGAAAGAUGGCGUAAGCUAUCGCUUUUGGAUGGACCCGCGGCGUAUUAGCUAGUUGGUGAGGUAAUGGCUCACCAAGGCGAUGAUACGUAGCCRAACUGAGAGGUUGAUCGGMCACAUUGGGACUGAGACACGGCCCAAACUCCUACGGGAGGCAGCAGUAGGGAAUCUUCCACAAUGGACGCAAGUCUGAUGGAGCAACGCCGCGUGAGUGAAGAAGGCUUUCGGGUCGUAAAACUCUGUUGUUGGAGAAGAAUGGUCGGCAGAGUAACUGUUGUCGGCGUGACGGUAUCCAACCAGAAAGCCACGGCUAACUACGUGCCAGCAGCCGCGGUAAUACGUAGGUGGCAAGCGUUAUCCGGAUUUAUUGGGCGUAAAGCGAGCGCAGGCGGUUUUUUAAGUCUGAUGUGAAAGCCCUCGGCUUAACCGAGGAAGCGCAUCGGAAACUGGGAAACUUGAGUGCAGAAGAGGACAGUGGAACUCCAUGUGUAGCGGUGAAAUGCGUAGAUAUAUGGAAGAACACCAGUGGCGAAGGCGGCUGUCUGGUCUGUAACUGACGCUGAGGCUCGAAAGCAUGGGUAGCGAACAGGAUUAGAUACCCUGGUAGUCCAUGCCGUAAACGAUGAAUGCUAGGUGUUGGAGGGUUUCCGCCCUUCAGUGCCGCAGCUAACGCAUUAAGCAUUCCGCCUGGGGAGUACGACCGCAAGGUUGAAACUCAAAGGAAUUGACGGGGGCCCGCACAAGCGGUGGAGCAUGUGGUUUAAUUCGAAGCAACGCGAAGAACCUUACCAGGUCUUGACAUCUUUUGAUCACCUGAGAGAUCAGGUUUCCCCUUCGGGGGCAAAAUGACAGGUGGUGCAUGGUUGUCGUCAGCUCGUGUCGUGAGAUGUUGGGUUAAGUCCCGCAACGAGCGCAACCCUUAUGACUAGUUGCCAGCAUUUAGUUGGGCACUC
RNAcentral lists this ribosomal RNA (1080 nucleotides) under Lacticaseibacillus paracasei. RNAcentral describes it as "bacterial SSU rRNA". It matches the Rfam family "Bacterial small subunit ribosomal RNA", at positions 72 to 1140 of the family's 1533-position model. Lineage: Bacteria; Bacillati; Bacillota; Bacilli; Lactobacillales; Lactobacillaceae. The record is from RNAcentral.